UUGGAGAACAGUUGAGGAAAAGAAAACAACAUUUCCAAGUACACAUACCGAUGCAUUAGAAACAUUGAAGUAUGAAAACAAGGUGUACCCAAUGAAGAGUGCUAACCGAGGAAAAUUUAUUCUCAUAUCAAACGUUCAAGUGAAACCACUAUGUACAAAAACCCAGAACGAGGAAAAGAAGGCACAAAGAUAUGCAGAUUAUCUUCGGAAUUCAGACUUUGAUCUGGUCAAUGUAUUUCAACUUUUUAAAUUGAUGGGAUAUGAUACAACAGACGGUAAACAUUUUGGGAAAACAAAAGAGGAAAUCAAGGAGAUAUUGAAACAAAAAUUAAAUGAUAUAGACAAGGAUUCGUCUUCUAAGUAUGAUAGCCUUAUUGUAGUUUUCUUGUCAAGUAAAAUUGACCCUCAGGCAACAAUGAUUUAUGACAUAGAUGGAGAAGUUGUUCCAAAUGAUGAAAUUUUAGAAAUCAUAAAAAGCUGUCAAGGUUUUGAAGGGAAAUCGAAAAUUAUUAUUGUCCAUACUUACAAUUCUAACGGUAUGUUCGUUGUUAUACUCCAUUUAUUCAUACACAUAUCUAGUAAUUAACAAAAAGUAAAAUCACAAAAAUACUGAACUCCUAGGAAAAUUCAAAAAGGAAAGUCCCCAAUCAAAUGGCAAAAUCAAGGUUCAAACACAUCAAACGAAUGGAUAACAACUGUCAUAUUCCUGACUUGGUACAGGCAUUUUCUUAAGUAGAAAAUGGUGGAUUGAACCUGGUUUUAUAGCUAGCUAAACCUCUCACUUGUAUGACAGUCGAUGACAAAUGUCGAUGUGGAUUCAUCCAAAAAAAACCAAUGAUGUUUUUGGAAUUUAUUUACG
Molecule: long non-coding RNA, 859 nt
Organism: Mytilus californianus (California mussel)
Lineage: Eukaryota; Metazoa; Mollusca; Bivalvia; Mytilida; Mytilidae
Exons: 3
Source: RefSeq, a predicted model, not a curated record